UACACUUUAAAUCCUUUAACGAGGACCCAUUGGAGGGCAAGUCUGGUGCCAGCAGCCGCGGUAACUCCAGCUCCAAUAGCGUAUAUUAAAGUUGCUGCGGUUAAAAAGCUCGUAGUUGGAUAUCGGUCUUGGUCGGGUGGUGCCGCCUUGCGGUGGUCACUGCCUCGAUCGGACAAUCCAUCGGAUCGUUCGGGGUGCUCUUAACCGAGUGUCCUGGGUGGCCGAUACGUUUACUUUGAACAAAUUAGAGUGCUUAAAGCAGGUGCACCGCGCCUGUAUAUCACAGCAUGGAAUGAUGGAAUAGGACCUCGGUCUUAUUUUGUUGGUUUUCUGGACUCGGAGGUAAUGGUUAACAGAGACAGACGGG
This 367-nucleotide ribosomal RNA is filed under the name Parartemia contracta. RNAcentral's name for it is "SSU rRNA". It matches the Rfam family "Eukaryotic small subunit ribosomal RNA", at positions 519 to 886 of the family's 1831-position model. The record is from RNAcentral. Lineage: Eukaryota; Metazoa; Arthropoda; Branchiopoda; Anostraca; Branchipodidae.